UACGGAGGGUGCAAGCGUUGUCCGGAUUUAUUGGGUUUAAAGGGCGCGUAGGCGGCCUGCUAAGUCGAACGUGAAAUCCCCGGGCUCAACCCGGGAACUGCGUCCGAUACUGGCAGGCUUGAAUCCGGGAGAGGGAUGUGGAAUUCCAGGUGUAGCGGUGAAAUGCGUAGAUAUCUGGAGGAACACCGGUGGCGAAGGCGGCAUCCUGGACCGGUAUUGACGCUGAUGCGCGAAAGCCAGGGGAGCAAACGGG
This 253-nucleotide ribosomal RNA is filed under the name uncultured bacterium. Its description in RNAcentral is "partial 16S ribosomal RNA". It matches the Rfam family "Bacterial small subunit ribosomal RNA", at positions 524 to 776 of the family's 1533-position model. The record is from RNAcentral.